GCCGGGGCGCGCGAGGGG
RNAcentral lists this microRNA (18 nucleotides) under Macrophomina phaseolina MS6. RNAcentral describes it as "miR-1394". Lineage: Eukaryota; Fungi; Ascomycota; Dothideomycetes; Botryosphaeriales; Botryosphaeriaceae. The record is from RNAcentral.